RNAcentral lists this ribosomal RNA (1235 nucleotides) under metagenome. RNAcentral describes it as "bacterial LSU rRNA". It matches the Rfam family "Bacterial large subunit ribosomal RNA", at positions 1564 to 2808 of the family's 2925-position model. The record is from RNAcentral.
UGAAUAUCAGAUGCUACGGCGUCGAAGCAGUCUAUGUCAUACUUCCAAGAAAAGCUUGCACUGUCAUAAACAAAUAAUGCCUGUACCAUAACCGACACAGGUGGGUAGGUAGAGUAUACUAAGGGGCGCGAGAUAACUCUCUCUAAGGAACUCGGCAAAAUGACUCCGUAACUUCGGGAGAAGGAGUGCCUUCUUUAGAAGGUUGCAAUAACAAGAUCCAAGCAACUGUUUACCAAAAACACAGGUCUCCGCUAAGUCGUAAGACGAUGUAUGGGGGCUGACGCCUGCCCAGUGCCAGAAGGUUAAAGAAGUUGGUUAGCAUUCGCGAAGCUGAUAACUGAAGCCCUGGUGAACGGCGGCCGUAACGAUAACGGUCCUAAGGUAGCGAAAUUCCUUGUCGGGUAAGUUCCGACCCGCACGAAAGGCGUAAUGAUUUGGAUACUGUCUCGGAGAGGGACCCGGUGAAAUAGACUUGUCUGUGAAGAUGCGGACUACCUGCACCUGGACAGAAAGACCCUAUGAAGCUUUACUGUAACUUGAAAUUGAAGUUGGACUUUAUUUGCGCAGUAUAGGUGGGAGGCUUUGAGAAUAAUCUUGCGGGAUUAUUGGAGCUAUCAGUGAGAUACCACUCUUGUAAUGUUAGAUUUCUAACUUUGGAUCAUUAUCUGGUCAAAGAACAGUUUCAGGCGGGCAGUUUGACUGGGGCGGUCGCCUCCCAAACGGUAACGGAGGCGCACAAAGGUUUCCUCUGAACGGGUAGAAAUCGUAUCUAGAGUGUAAAGGCAUAAGGAAGCUUGACUGUGAGACCUACAAGUCGAGCAGGGACGAAAGUCGGUCUUAGUGAUCUGACGGUGCUGAGUGGAAAGGCCGUCACUCAACGGAUAAAAGUUACUCUAAGGAUAACAGGCUGAUCUCCCCCAAGAGUUCACAUCGACGGGGAGGUUUGGCACCUCGAUGUCGGCUCAUCGCAUCCUGGGGCGGUAGUACGUCCCAAGGGUUGGGCUGUUCGCCCAUGAAAGCGGUACGCGAGCUGGGUUCAGAACGUCGUGAGACAGUUCGGUCCAUAUCCGGUGUAGGCGUUAGAAUAUUGAGAGGAGCCUUCUCUAGUACGAGAGGACCGAGAAGGACAUACCUCUGGUGUACCAGUUAUCGUGCCAACGGUAAACGCUGGGUAGCUAUGUAUGGAGUGGAUAACCGCUGAAAGCAUCUAAGUGGGAAGCCCACCUCAAGAUAAG